This 253-nucleotide ribosomal RNA is filed under the name uncultured prokaryote. RNAcentral describes it as "partial 16S ribosomal RNA". It matches the Rfam family "Bacterial small subunit ribosomal RNA", at positions 524 to 776 of the family's 1533-position model. The record is from RNAcentral.
UACGAAGGGUGCAAACGUUGCUCGGAAUUAUUGGGCGUAAAGCGCACGUAGGCGGUAUGGCAAGUCGGAUGUGAAAUCCCUCGGCUUAACCAAGGAAGUGCAUCCGAAACUGCUGUGCUUGAGUACGAAAGAGGAUCGCGGAAUUCCCGGUGUAGAGGUGAAAUGCAUAGAUAUGUCACAGAACACCGAUUGCGAAGGCAGCUUACUAAAGUGUGAUUGACGCUGAGGCACGAAAGCGUGGGGAUCAAACAGG